UUUCCUCACUUUUCUCUUAAAAAUAAAAUGCCAUAUCUCCUUCGUCUUUUUAGCCAUGGCCUCCGCCGAGAUCGCGGAUAUCGAGUUCCGAUGCUUCGUCAGUGCGCUCCUCUGGAUCACUGACAUGAGGCGCUGGAGAGAGCCUUUUCCUCCUCCGGUGAGAGAUCAUGAAGGACCGUGAGAUCGGUAGAUCCAGGUGUUUCGGAUUCGUUACCUUCAGCAACGACAAGGACAUGCGGAAGGGGAUCCAAGGAUGCCAGAGCCUUCAUUUGAGACAUUUGAUCUUUUUGGAUGUGCACUAGCUCAUGUUGGUGUGAUGGACUUGCUGUGGUUCCCACGAAUCUACCAUAGGUAAUUCUAUGUCAGGUGACCAUGGGAACAACAUGGAAGCCAACCUCACCACUAUCUAUCAAGAUCACGAUGACUGAUUUGCACCAUUACACCAAUUGAAGUUAUUAAAGGCUGUCUUUUGCAGCAUUCGCACUGCCUGACAACUAGUGGACAUUUGACUGUUUGCUCACUGAAUCAGCUUAUUACAAUUGAUCUAUAGCCGAUGAAACUUUAGGACGAAGCAGCUGAGUCGGUGGAAUUUCUGGAAUAUCUUUUCACUUUUUAUUUUUCAGGAAAAAUGUCUGUAAUGUUUGUCCUCCUUCGUCUGUCAUGUUUCCACCACGUUUUUGGUCCAGUAAGCCCAUAUUACCCAAGAACU
Molecule: long non-coding RNA, 709 nt
Organism: Prunus avium (sweet cherry)
Lineage: Eukaryota; Viridiplantae; Streptophyta; Magnoliopsida; Rosales; Rosaceae
Source: RefSeq, a predicted model, not a curated record